AUAUCAAUAAGCGGAGGAAAAGAAACCAACAGGGAUUGCCUCAGUAACGGCGAGUGAAGCGGCAACAGCUCAAAUUUGAAAUCUGGAGCCUUCGGCUUCCGAGUUGUAAUUUGAAGAGGAUGUUUCGGUGCAACCUGGGCCUAAGUUCCUUGGAACAGGACGUCAUGGAGGGUGAGAAUCCCGUACAUGGCUGCAGGUUUGCUUCUAUGUGAAACUCCUUCGAAGAGUCGAGUUGUUUGGGAAUGCAGCUCAAAAUGGGUGGGUAAUUUCAUCUAAAGCUAAAUUUGGCGGGAGACCGAUAGCGCACAAGUAGAGUGAUCGAAAGAUGAAAAGCACUUUGAAAAGAGGGUUAAAUAGCACGUGAAAUUGUUGAAAGGGAAGCGCUUGUGACCAGACUUGCGCCGGGCAGAUCAUCCGGUGUUCUCACCGGUGCACUCUGCCCGGCUCAGGCCAGCAUCGGUUCUCGUGGGGGGAUAAAGGUCCCGGGAACGUAGCUCCUCCGGGAGUGUUAUAGCCCGGGGCGUAAUGCCCUCGUGGGGACCGAGGUUCGCGCAUCUGCAAGGAUGCUGGCGUAAUGGUCAUCAGCGA
RNAcentral lists this ribosomal RNA (588 nucleotides) under uncultured fungus. Its description in RNAcentral is "eukaryotic LSU rRNA". It matches the Rfam family "Eukaryotic large subunit ribosomal RNA", at positions 40 to 647 of the family's 3401-position model. Lineage: Eukaryota; Fungi. The record is from RNAcentral.